UGAGGAAUAUUGGUCAAUGGGCGCAAGCCUGAACCAGCCAUGCCGCGUGCAGGAAGAAGCAUCUAUGGUGUGUAAACUGCUUUUAUACAGGAAGAAACAUCCCGACGUGUCGGGACUUGACGGUACUGUAGGAAUAAGGAUCGGCUAACUCCGUGCCAGCAGCCGCGGUAAUACGGAGGAUCCAAGCGUUAUCCGGAAUCAUUGGGUUUAAAGGGUCCGUAGGCGGCCUUAUAAGUCAGUGGUGAAAUCUCCUAGCUCAACUAGGAAACUGCCAUUGAUACUGUAAGGCUUGAAUUUUUGUGAAGUAACUAGAAUAUGUAGUGUAGCGGUGAAAUGCUUAGAUAUUACAUGGAAUACCAAUUGCGAAGGCAGGUUACUAACAAAC
RNAcentral lists this ribosomal RNA (385 nucleotides) under uncultured bacterium. RNAcentral's name for it is "bacterial SSU rRNA". It matches the Rfam family "Bacterial small subunit ribosomal RNA", at positions 355 to 737 of the family's 1533-position model. The record is from RNAcentral.